GGACUCAUAGCUCAGCUGGUUAGAGCGCUGCAUUCACAUUGCAGAGGUCCCAGGUUCGAACCCUGGUGGGUCCACCA
RNAcentral lists this transfer RNA (77 nucleotides) under Patescibacteria group bacterium. Its description in RNAcentral is "tRNA-Val". It matches the Rfam family "tRNA". From Rfam's summary of the family: Transfer RNA (tRNA) molecules are approximately 80 nucleotides in length. Their secondary structure includes four short double-helical elements and three loops (D, anti-codon, and T loops). The record is from RNAcentral.